Molecule: transfer RNA, 69 nt
Filed under: Cellana radiata
Lineage: Eukaryota; Metazoa; Mollusca; Gastropoda; Nacellidae
Description: tRNA-Cys
Source: RNAcentral
AGUUAAUUAGUUGAAUUUCACAACAUUAAGGUGCAAACUUAAAGAAAUGGUGUUACCCCAUAUUAAUCU